UCAGAGGCGAUGAAGGACGUGCUAAUCUGCGAAAAGCGUCGGUAAGGUGAUAUGAACCGUUAUAGCCGGCGAUGUCCGAAUGGGGAAACCCAGUGCAAUUCGUUGCACUAUCGUUAACUGAAUACAUAGGUUAACGAGGCGAACCGGGGGAACUGAAACAUCUAAGUACCCCGAGGAAAAGAAAUCAACCGAGAUUCCCC
This 200-nucleotide ribosomal RNA is filed under the name Klebsiella sp. 141203. Its description in RNAcentral is "partial 23S ribosomal RNA". It matches the Rfam family "Bacterial large subunit ribosomal RNA", at positions 40 to 240 of the family's 2925-position model. The record is from RNAcentral. Lineage: Bacteria; Pseudomonadati; Pseudomonadota; Gammaproteobacteria; Enterobacterales; Enterobacteriaceae.